RNAcentral lists this RNase P RNA (377 nucleotides) under Azoarcus taiwanensis. RNAcentral describes it as "Azoarcus sp. NSC3 Bacterial RNase P class A". It matches the Rfam family "Bacterial RNase P class A". From Rfam's summary of the family: Ribonuclease P (RNase P) is a ubiquitous endoribonuclease, found in archaea, bacteria and eukarya as well as chloroplasts and mitochondria. Its best characterised activity is the generation of mature 5'-ends of tRNAs by cleaving the 5'-leader elements of precursor-tRNAs. Lineage: Bacteria; Pseudomonadati; Pseudomonadota; Betaproteobacteria; Rhodocyclales; Zoogloeaceae. The record is from Rfam by way of RNAcentral.
GAAGUUCGCCAGGCAAUCGCUGCGCACCUCGUCGUGCGUGGAGGAAAGUCCGGGCCCCGCAGAGCAGGAUGCCGGCUAACGGCCGGGCGCCGUGAGGCGACGGAAAGUGCAACAGAGAGCAGACCGCCGACGAUCAGCGAUGAUCGGGCAAGGGUGAAAGGGUGAGGUAAGAGCUCACCGCGGGACUGGUAACAGGACCGGCACGGCAAACCCCAUCCGGGGCAAGGCCAAAUAGGGGAGCAUUGGCGUGGCUCGCGUCGCUCCCGGGUAGGCCGCUUGAGCGUCGUGGUGACAUGACGCCCAGAUGAAUGAUUGCCCCGCGUCGACGCGUCCGCGUCGGUGCGCGACAGAACCCGGCUUAUCGGCGAACUUCCUCU